This 429-nucleotide ribosomal RNA is filed under the name Chloroflexota bacterium. RNAcentral describes it as "Chloroflexi bacterium partial 16S ribosomal RNA". It matches the Rfam family "Bacterial small subunit ribosomal RNA", at positions 355 to 776 of the family's 1533-position model. The record is from RNAcentral. Lineage: Bacteria; Bacillati; Chloroflexota.
UGGGGAAUAUUGCACAAUGGGCGCAAGCCUGAUGAAGCCAUGCCGCGUGUAUGAAGAAGGCCUUCGGGUUGUAAAGUACUUUCAGCGGGGAGGAAGGAAGUAAAGUUAAUACCUUUGCUCAUUGACGUUACCCGCAGAAGAAGCACCGGCUAACUCCGUGCCAGCAGCCGCGGUAAUACGGAGGGUGCAAGCGUUAAUCGGAAUUACUGGGCGUAAAGCGCACGCAGGCGGUUUGUUAAGUCAGAUGUGAAAUCCCCGGGCUCAACCUGGGAACUGCAUCUGAUACUGGCAAGCUUGAGUCUCGUAGAGGGGGGUAGAAUUCCAGGUGUAGCGGUGAAAUGCGUAGAGAUCUGGAGGAAUACCGGUGGCGAAGGCGGCCCCCUGGACGAAGACUGACGCUCAGGUGCGAAAGCGUGGGGAGCAAACAGG